AGAGUUUGAUCAUGGCUCAGGACGAACGCUGGCGGCGUGCUUAAUACAUGCAAGUCGAGCGAGGUUAUCUUUUCAAAGCCCUUCGGGGUGGCGAAUUUUUAACCUAGCGGCGGACGGGUGAGUAACGCGUGGGUAAUCUGCCCUAAAGCCCGGGAUAACAGCGGGAAACUGCUGCUAAUACCGGAUAGCUUUAUCUGGAGGCAUCUUCGGAUAAGGAAACGUAAGGCUUUAGGAUGAGCCCGCGUCCCAUUAGCUAGUUGGUGAGGUAACGGCCCACCAAGGCGACGAUGGGUAGCCGGCCUGAGAGGGUGAACGGCCACACUGGGACUGAGACACGGCCCAGACUCCUACGGGAGGCAGCAGUAGGGAAUAUUGCGCAAUGGAGGGAACUCUGACGCAGCGACGCCGCGUGAGCGAUGAAGGUCUUCGGAUCGUAAAGCUCUGUCCUUGGGGAAGAAGGUCUUCGGACUUGACGGUACCUAAGGAGGAAGCCCCGGCUAACUACGUGCCAGCAGCCGCGGUAAUACGUAGGGGGCAAGCGUUGUCCGGAAUUAUUGGGCGUAAAGGGUGCGUAGGCGGCCUUUUAAGUCAGAUGUGAAAGCCCACGGCUUAACCGUGGGACUGCAUUUGAAACUGGAGGGCUUGAGUAUCGGAGAGGGUAGUGGAAUUCCCAGUGUAGCGGUGGAAUGCGUAGAUAUUGGGAGGAACACCAGUGGCGAAGGCGACUACCUGGACGAAAACUGACGCUGAGGCACGAAAGCUAGGGGAGCAAACAGGAUUAGAUACCCUGGUAGUCCUAGCCGUAAACGAUGUCUAAGGACUUGCUAGUGACACACUGAAAGAAGGUUGGGCAGC
This 855-nucleotide ribosomal RNA is filed under the name uncultured bacterium. RNAcentral's name for it is "bacterial SSU rRNA". It matches the Rfam family "Bacterial small subunit ribosomal RNA", at positions 8 to 858 of the family's 1533-position model. The record is from RNAcentral.